Molecule: long non-coding RNA, 561 nt
Organism: Bactrocera tryoni
Lineage: Eukaryota; Metazoa; Arthropoda; Insecta; Diptera; Tephritidae
Exons: 2
Source: RefSeq, a predicted model, not a curated record
AGGAGUUGAAUUUAGCAUCAGAAGCCAUAAUCAUUUCUACAAAACAGAUUUCUCAAAAUACUCGCGGUAUAACUAUUGCAAAACAUAGCCUUUAAGUGGAUACGUGUGUUUAUUUCAUUCACCGACACGCACAACAGUAAAAGUCUAAGCCGGUUCUAACAGCUAGGAAGAACGGUGAGAGACAGGUCCACGUCUCCAUCCUUCUCACCAAUCUGCAUCUUCAGUCCAUCCAGGAGCUCCUGAGUGGAUGGUAGCGCCCCUUCCUGCUCAUUGGAGAACUCUUGUCCGACCGCCGAUGGCUGGCUCUCCUUGACCCUAUUCGACCUUGGCAGCUCGUGAAGGGUUAUCUGGCCUUUUUGCGGACCGACUUGUGGCACCUUGAGAUGCCGCCCUUUCGCUGGUCCGUCUCUCCGACGACGUUGCGUAGACUAGGUGACGCCUUCGAUUCCUACGUCUUGAAGCAGACGCGGAGUCAGCAUCUACGUGUCGUGCAGUGGUAGGAUGAAAUUUCUUUGAACCAUGCGAACAUAUUUUGGCAAAAUAAAUGUUUAUAUAAAUUAA